This 253-nucleotide ribosomal RNA is filed under the name uncultured bacterium. RNAcentral describes it as "partial 16S ribosomal RNA". It matches the Rfam family "Bacterial small subunit ribosomal RNA", at positions 524 to 776 of the family's 1533-position model. The record is from RNAcentral.
UACGAAGGGGGCUAGCGUUGCUCGGAAUCACUGGGCGUAAAGCGCACGUAGGCGGACUCUUAAGUCAGGGGUGAAAUCCUGGAGCUCAACUCCAGAACUGCCUUUGAUACUGAGAGCCUUGAGUCCGGAAGAGGUAAGUGGAACUGCGAGUGUAGAGGUGAAAUUCGUAGAUAUUCGCAAGAACACCAGUGGCGAAGGCGGCUUACUGGUCCGGUACUGAUGCUGAGGUGCGAAAGCGUGGGGAGCAAACAGG